RNAcentral lists this ribosomal RNA (875 nucleotides) under Porphyromonas macacae. RNAcentral's name for it is "bacterial SSU rRNA". It matches the Rfam family "Bacterial small subunit ribosomal RNA", at positions 508 to 1384 of the family's 1533-position model. Lineage: Bacteria; Pseudomonadati; Bacteroidota; Bacteroidia; Bacteroidales; Porphyromonadaceae. The record is from RNAcentral.
CCAGCAGCCGCGGUAAUACGGAGGAUGCGAGCUUUAUCCGGAUUUAUUUGGUUUAAAGGGUGCGUAGGUGGCCUGAUAAGUCGGGGGUGAAAAGCUGUGGCUCAACCACAGUCUUGCCUUCGAAACUGUUUGGCUUGAGUAUAGAUGAAGUAGGCGGAAUUUGUGGUGUAGCGGUGAAAUGCAUAGAUAUCACGAGGAACUCCGAUUGCGAAGGCAGCUUACUAAGUUAUGACUGACACUGAAGCACGAAAGCGUGGGUAUCAAACAGGAUUAGAUACCCUGGUAGUCCACGCAGUAAACGAUGAUAACUGGGCGUAUGCGAUAUACAGUAUGCUCCUGAGCGAAAGCGUUAAGUUAUCCACCUGGGGAGUACGCCGGCAACGGUGAAACUCAAAGGAAUUGACGGGGGCCCGCACAAGCGGAGGAACAUGUGGUUUAAUUCGAUGAUACGCGAGGAACCUUACCCGGGAUUGAAAUUUAGCGGACUAUGUAUGAAAGUACAUAUCCUGUCACAAGGCCGCUAAGUAGGUGCUGCAUGGUUGUCGUCAGCUCGUGCCGUGAGGUGUCGGCUUAAGUGCCAUAACGAGCGCAACCCACGUUGUCAGUUACUAUCGGGUAAAGCCGAGGACUCUGACAAGACUGCCGUCGUAAGGCGCGAGGAAGGUGUGGAUGACGUCAAAUCAGCACGGCCCUUACAUCCGGGGCGACACACGUGUUACAAUGGUGGGGACAAAGGGCAGCUACUUGGUGACAAGAUGCGAAUCUCCAAACCCCAUCCCAGUUCGGAUCGUAGUCUGCAACUCGACUAUGUGAAGCUGGAUUCGCUAGUAAUCGCGCAUCAGCCAUGGCGCGGUGAAUACGUUCCCGGGCCUUGU